UACGGAGGGAGCUAGCGUUGUUCGGAAUUACUGGGCGUAAAGCGCACGUAGGCGGCUUUGUAAGUUAGAGGUGAAAGCCCGGGGCUCAACUCCGGAACUGCCUUUAAGACUGCAUCGCUUGAAUCCGGGAGAGGUGAGUGGAAUUCCGAGUGUAGAGGUGAAAUUCGUAGAUAUUCGGAAGAACACCAGUGGCGAAGGCGGCUCACUGGACCGGCAUUGACGCUGAUGUGCGAAAGCGUGGGGAGCAAACAGG
RNAcentral lists this ribosomal RNA (253 nucleotides) under uncultured bacterium. RNAcentral's name for it is "partial 16S ribosomal RNA". It matches the Rfam family "Bacterial small subunit ribosomal RNA", at positions 524 to 776 of the family's 1533-position model. The record is from RNAcentral.